Non-coding RNA from Caenorhabditis elegans, 403 nucleotides. The record is from Ensembl. Lineage: Eukaryota; Metazoa; Nematoda; Chromadorea; Rhabditida; Rhabditidae.
CUUACCUGACCUCAGCACAACCCUUUCUGAAACCGUGACAAGUGUCGAAUAUCUGCGAUUAGCGCUUGGCACAUUCCGAUUGCAAACAUUCAGGGGCGCCAUUGUGUUGAGCACUUCGCAGACGGAUCGCGAUGGUCGGCGUAAUGGUGGUGGACAGGCGCCACGCGUUGCUGUUGCCAUUUUUCGCACAAUGUUAGCAUCGCUAGCGAUAAACACUGACAUUUUCGUUUUCGAGGGGCCCAAAAAUGCAGAAGACCAAGUCGAACAACGAGACAGACGACAAUUGUUUCAAAAAGGACAACAAUUGUGUAUGUAACCGGCGUGACCGGACGGGAGAAUAAGAAUGAAGAAUAGGAUGAUGUUGUGGUAAAAUGAUAUUUCAGGAAGUAACCAAUAUAUGUGG